RNAcentral lists this ribosomal RNA (433 nucleotides) under uncultured bacterium. RNAcentral's name for it is "partial 16S ribosomal RNA". It matches the Rfam family "Bacterial small subunit ribosomal RNA", at positions 29 to 507 of the family's 1533-position model. The record is from RNAcentral.
AACGAACGCUGGCGGCAUGCCUAACACAUGCAAGUCGAACGAGACCUUCGGGUCUAGUGGCGCACGGGUGCGUAACGCGUGGGAACCUGCCCUUAGGUUCGGAAUAACUCCCCGAAAGGGGUGCUAAUACCGGAUAAUGUCUUCGGACCAAAGAUUUAUCGCCUUUGGAUGGGCCCGCGUUGGAUUAGCUAGUUGGUAGGGUAAAAGCCUACCAAGGCGACGAUCCAUAGCUGGUCUGAGAGGAUGAUCAGCCACACUGGGACUGAGACACGGCCCAGACUCCUACGGGAGGCAGCAGUGGGGAGUAUUGGACAAUGGGCGAAAGACUGAUCCAGCAAUGCCGCGUGAGUGAUGAAGGCCUUAGGGUUGUAAAGCUCUUUUACCCGGGAUGAUAAUGACAGUACCGGGAGAAUAAGCUCCGGCUAACUCCGUG